UACGAAGGGUGCGAGCGUUAAUCGGAAUUACUGGGCGUAAAGCGCGCGUAGGUGGUUCAUUAAGUUAGGAGUGAAAGCCCCGGGCUCAACCUGGGAAUUGCUUCUAAAACUGGUGGGCUAGAGUACGGUAGAGGGUGGUGGAAUUUCCUGUGUAGCGGUGAAAUGCGUAGAUAUAGGAAGGAACAUCAGUGGCGAAGGCGACCACCUGGACUGAUACUGACACUGAGGUGCGAAAGCGUGGGGAGCAAACAGG
This 253-nucleotide ribosomal RNA is filed under the name uncultured bacterium. RNAcentral describes it as "partial 16S ribosomal RNA". It matches the Rfam family "Bacterial small subunit ribosomal RNA", at positions 524 to 776 of the family's 1533-position model. The record is from RNAcentral.